Molecule: ribosomal RNA, 427 nt
Filed under: uncultured bacterium
Lineage: Bacteria
Description: partial 16S ribosomal RNA
Rfam family: Bacterial small subunit ribosomal RNA
Source: RNAcentral
UGGGGAAUAUUGCACAAUGGGCGCAAGCCUGAUGCAGCCAUGCCGCGUGUAUGAAGAAGGCCUUCGGGUUGUAAAGUACUUUCAGCGGGGAGGAAGGGAGUAAAGUUAAUACCUUUGCUCAUUGACGUUACCCGCAGAAGAAGCACCGGCUAACUCCGUGCCAGCAGCCGCGGUAAUACGGAGGGUGCAAGCGUUAAUCGGAAUUACUGGGCGUAAAGCGCACGCAGGCGGUUUGUUAAGUCAGAUGUGAAAUCCCCGGGCUCAACCUGGGAACUGCAUCUGAUACUGGCAAGCUUGAGUCUCGUAGAGGGGGGUAGAAUUCCAGGUGUAGCGGUGAAAUGCGUAGAGAUCUGGAGGAAUACCGGUGGCGAAGGCGGCCCCCUGGACGAAGACUGACACUGAGGUGCGAAAGCGUGGGGAGCAAACA